AGAGUUUGAUCAUGGCUCAGGAUUAACGCUGGCGGUAUGCCUAACACAUGCAAGUCGAACGGAAUACUAAUUAAGAGAAUCUCACACUAGUGAGAGGUUCUCACGAGUAGUAUUUAGUGGCGGACGGGUGAGUAACACGUUGGAACCUGCCCCGAAGUGGGGAAUAACUGCUCGAAAGAGUAGCUAAUACCCCAUAGUAUCCGGUUUAUCCGGAUUAAAGAUUUAUCGCUUCGGGAGGGGCCUGCGUCUGAUUAGCUAGUUGGUGAGGUAAAAGCUCACCAAGGCGACGAUCAGUAGCUGGUUCGAGAGGAUGACCAGCCACACUGGGACUGAGAUACGGCCCAGACUCCUACGGGAGGCAGCAGUGAGGAAUCUUCCACAAUGGGCGCAAGCCUGAUGGAGCAAUACCGCGUGCAGGAAGACGCCUUUCGGAGUGUAAACUGCUUUUGUCGUCGAAGAUUAUGACUGUAGACGAAGAAUAAGGACCGGCUAACUACGUG
This 500-nucleotide ribosomal RNA is filed under the name uncultured bacterium. RNAcentral's name for it is "bacterial SSU rRNA". It matches the Rfam family "Bacterial small subunit ribosomal RNA", at positions 8 to 507 of the family's 1533-position model. The record is from RNAcentral.